CAGCAGCCGCGGGAAUACGGAGGGGGCUAGCGUUGUUCGGAAUUACUGGGCGUAAAGCGCACGUAGGCGGCUUGGUAAGUUAGAGGUGAAAGCCUGGAGCUCAACUCCAGAAUUGCCUUUAAGACUGCCGAGCUAGCAGGUGAGAGAGGUAAGUGGAAUUCCGAGUGUAGAGGUGAAAUUCGUAGAUAUUCGGAAGAACACCAGUGGCGAAGGCGGCUUACUGGCUCAUACUGGACGCUGAGGUGCGAAAGCGUGGGGAGCAAACAGGAUUAGAUACCCGCGUAGUCCCUGUCUCUUAUAA
Molecule: ribosomal RNA, 301 nt
Filed under: uncultured bacterium
Lineage: Bacteria
Description: partial 16S ribosomal RNA
Rfam family: Bacterial small subunit ribosomal RNA
Source: RNAcentral